Molecule: ribosomal RNA, 460 nt
Filed under: uncultured bacterium
Lineage: Bacteria
Description: partial 16S ribosomal RNA
Rfam family: Bacterial small subunit ribosomal RNA
Source: RNAcentral
CCUACGGGAGGCAGCAGUGAGGAAUAUUGGUCAAUGAACGAGAGUCUGAACCAGCCAAGUAGCGUGAAUGAUGACUGCCCUAUGGGUUGUAAACUUCUUUUAUAUGGGAAUAAAAUGUUCCACGUGUGGGAUUUUGUAGGUACCAAAUGAAUAAGGAUCGGCGAACUCCGUGCCAGCAGCCGCGGUAAUACGGAGGAUCCGAGCGUUAUCCGGAUGUAUUGGGUUUAAAGGGAGCGUAGGUGGAUGGUUAAGUCAGUGGUGAAAGUUUGCGGCUCAACCGUAAAAUUGCAGUUGAAACUGGCAGUCUUGAGUACAGUAGAGGUGGGCGGAAUUCGUGGUGUAGCGGUGAAAUGCUUAGAUAUCACGAAGAACUCCGAUUGCGAAGGCAGUUCACUGGACUGCAACUGACACUGAGGCUCGAAAGUGUGGGUAUCAAACAGGAUUAGAUACCCGAGUAGUC